This 420-nucleotide ribosomal RNA is filed under the name uncultured bacterium. RNAcentral describes it as "partial 16S ribosomal RNA". It matches the Rfam family "Bacterial small subunit ribosomal RNA", at positions 360 to 772 of the family's 1533-position model. The record is from RNAcentral.
AAUAUGGGAACAUGGGGGCAACUCUGCUCCAGCCAUGCCGCGUGUGUGAAGGAGGUCUUCGGCGUGUACAGCUCUUUAUGUUGGGAGGAAAGGCUUUAUGCUAAUACCCUGAUUGUUAGUCGUUGCCAACCGAAUCGCCACCGUCUAACUCUGUGCCAGCAGCCGCGGUAAUACAGAGGGUGCAAGCGUUAAUCGGAAUUACUGGGCGUAAAGCGCGCGUAGGUGGUUAAAUAAGAUUGGUGUGAAAUCCCCGGGCUUAACCUGGGGACUGCUUUCAUAACUGAUGAGCAAGGUUACGGUAGAGGGUAGUGGAAUUUCCAUUGUAGCGGUGAAAUGCGUAGGUUUUGGAAGGAACCCCAGUGGCGAAGGCGACUACCUGGACUGAUACUGACACUGAGGUGCGAAAGCGUGGGGGGAAAA